AAGUGGGGAGUGAAUCAUAAAUUAAAGGAGAACCAAACACAUUAAUGUCUAAUACUGCCUCUUAACAGGAACAUUACAAAUGAUAAUGAGGACACCGUCCAUCUUUGUGGGGGCCAGUAGUGAAUAAGACUGGACCCUUGGUAACAAAGGGCUUCUUCACUCUUCCAGAGCUGCUGUAGGGCCUUGCAGUGGUGAAUGAGCUUUAUAUGAAACA
RNAcentral lists this long non-coding RNA (214 nucleotides) under Anas platyrhynchos platyrhynchos (common mallard). Its description in RNAcentral is "lncRNA (ENSAPLG00000023465.1)". The record is from RNAcentral. Lineage: Eukaryota; Metazoa; Chordata; Aves; Anseriformes; Anatidae.